AGUGCUCUAACCACUGGACUAUCGCGGAAGUAUAUAGAUUGCUAAAAGAAGUGUUUACCGUUAUGAAGUACAUUCAUAUAAAAUAUAAAUAAACUUGUAUUAGUUUGUCCAAUUCAAACUGAUUUAUGCACGAUAUCUUUUCGAUUACUUAUAUAAGAUGAAAUGUUUCAUGUUUCACCUCUGAUCCUAUGUUUAAGUGAAAAUAUGUCAAAAUAAGUGCAUCACAGUCAAGCACAAGGGUUUAAUAUAUACGCCCUCCUUUCUUUUCCCAUCUCUCGGAAGAAAUGUGUCAUUGAACGCGUACCUGAAUACUGUACCACCACCACGUCUAUUUCCCUUACGUCAUAAACCUUUACUUUCGCAGGAAAUCUUUGUCCUUGUGUCUCCUCGUGGUGGUCGUUGGGUCGUGCUCGGGUCAGAGUAUCCAGCAGCUGCUCAACAACAUCGGCAUCAACAACCCCACAACCUUUGGGGAAAUCCGACAAAUCUUCCAUAAAGAUAACCAAAACAAUGUAGUAUCCUGUUUGGUCACUGGCUCGUCUGCCGAUGGUGGACCGUGCGAUCCAAGGACAAACACCUUCAGGAACCUCUUGACGCAACUUGACAGCAACAAUUACAACUGCAACUGCCCGGAGCAAGGUCAGGUCGAUGCCAUCACCAAUCUAAUCAGAAAUAACCUUGGUGCAGCAAACUGCAAUACCGUGAGGAACGCGUUGCAGCUGCAAAACUUACGUUGUUAAAGAAGACGAACAGUCCAGUUGGUGUGGAACUAAGAAGAUGAGAGAGUUUGUUUUUGAAGAAAGAUACAACAGCGUAAGAAUACACAGGCGAUUCCCCUGCGCGCCUGAGCAUACAGAAAUUUUCAAAUGCUUGCCACAUAUGGUGAAAUAAAGGCGGAGAACAGGA
This is a long non-coding RNA of Penaeus indicus, 906 nucleotides long. RefSeq lists it as uncharacterized. NCBI's taxonomy places the organism in Eukaryota, Metazoa, Arthropoda, Malacostraca, Decapoda, Penaeidae. The record is from RefSeq and is a predicted model, not a curated record. The transcript is spliced from 2 exons.